CUUCUCGUGAGAGAGGGAGGUUUGCUUUUAAGCAAACGGUGAGGUUUCCUGUGUUAAAGAUGGACUGGAGAGCUGCAAACACUGCGGCAGUUCCUCGGGGCAAAGAGUUGAUAUAUGUAAAAAACUCCUCUGGGCAAGUUUUUCUCAAAUGUUUAUACUACCAGUGAAUACUGGAGAGGAGAAAGUGAAGCACAGGCACAUAGGGUGCAAGACAUUUGACUUCAGAACCCUUUGAAGGUGUUCCAGGGUGUACUUACGCUAUAAACUGUUAGAGAGAAGGGAAGGAAUUUGGAAAACCCGGAAGCUCUAUUGUCUCUUCAACCACAGGACAAAAUCACAUCAGUCACAUAUCCCACAACUUUUCUUGAGCGCUCUUGCCUACUUAGGAUUUCAGAAAAGGACCCAGGUCAGUGCCACAAAGUAUGCCUUCCUCAGAAAUUUGUCUUCGUCUUGGGACGCUGCUUUCCAGAGCUGUUUCAUGGAGUCACAACUGCACAUUGUUUUAUUACCGCAUACCACAUGCAGCAUUGGAAUGUCACACACAUGCUACAUGAAGGCUAACAGAAACAGACCUUUACUCUUUCCUUUUAUCUGCCAUCUGAGACUCUGAAAGAGCUGCUUAGUAGGCAUUACUUUAAUUUGCAGUUAAGGAUGUGAUCA
This 660-nucleotide long non-coding RNA is filed under the name Numida meleagris (helmeted guineafowl). RNAcentral describes it as "lncRNA (ENSNMEG00000000546.1)". The record is from RNAcentral. Lineage: Eukaryota; Metazoa; Chordata; Aves; Galliformes; Numididae.